This 74-nucleotide transfer RNA is filed under the name Candidatus Woesearchaeota archaeon. RNAcentral's name for it is "tRNA-Ile". It matches the Rfam family "tRNA". Rfam says of the family: Transfer RNA (tRNA) molecules are approximately 80 nucleotides in length. Their secondary structure includes four short double-helical elements and three loops (D, anti-codon, and T loops). The record is from RNAcentral. Lineage: Archaea; Nanobdellati; Candidatus Woesearchaeota.
GGGCCCGUAGCUUAGCCUGGUGGAGCACACGACUGAUAAUCGUGCGGUCCUGAGUUCGAAUCUCAGCGGGCCCA